This 253-nucleotide ribosomal RNA is filed under the name uncultured bacterium. RNAcentral describes it as "partial 16S ribosomal RNA". It matches the Rfam family "Bacterial small subunit ribosomal RNA", at positions 524 to 776 of the family's 1533-position model. The record is from RNAcentral.
UACGUAUGGUGCGAACGUUGUUCGGAAUCACUGGGCGUAAAGCGCACGUAGGCGGCGUCGUAAGUCAGGGGUGAAAUCCCGGAGCUCAACUCCGGAACUGCCCUUGAAACUGCAAUGCUAGAAUCUUGGAGAGGCGAGUGGAAUUCCGAGUGUAGAGGUGAAAUUCGUAGAUAUUCGGAAGAACACCAGUGGCGAAGGCGACUCGCUGGACAAGUAUUGACGCUGAGGUGCGAAAGCGUGGGGAGCAAACAGG